GAUGAACGCUAGCGAUAGGCUUAACACAUGCAAGUCGAGGGACCGGCGGAUGGGUGAGUAACGCGUAUGCCACUUUCCUCUUAGUGGGGGAUAACCCGGAGAAAUCCGGACUACUACCGCAUACUAAGAGAUAGGCAUGCGUUCCAUUAGUUAGUUGGUAAGGUAACGGCUCACCAAGGCACCGAUGGAUAGGGGAGCUGAGAGGCGGCUACCCCACGUUGGGACUGAGACCCGGCCCACAAUCCGACGGGACGCAGCAGUGAGGAAUAUUGGUCAAUGGAGGAAGACCUGAACCAGCCAAGUCGCGUGAAGAAGGACGAUGUAUGGAUUGUAAACUUCUUUAGUAGGAGAGUAGGUAGCCUAAGAAUAAGUAUCGGCUAACUACGUGCCAGCAGCCGCGGUAAUAC
This 407-nucleotide ribosomal RNA is filed under the name uncultured bacterium. RNAcentral's name for it is "partial 16S ribosomal RNA". It matches the Rfam family "Bacterial small subunit ribosomal RNA", at positions 28 to 526 of the family's 1533-position model. The record is from RNAcentral.